CCUACGGGUGGCUGCAGUGGGGAAUAUUGGACAAUGGGCGAAAGCCUGAUCCAGCCAUGCCGCGUGUGUGAAGAAGGCCUUCGGGUUGUAAAGCACUUUCAGUGGGGAAGAAAGCCUUGGGGCUAAUACCCUCGAGGAAGGACAUCACCCACAGAAGAAGCACCGGCUAACUCCGUGCCAGCAGCCGCGGUAAUACGGAGGGUGCGAGCGUUAAUCGGAAUUACUGGGCGUAAAGCGCGCGUAGGCGGUCUGAUAAGCCGGUUGUGAAAGCCCCGGGCUCAACCUGGGAACGGCAUCCGGAACUGUCAGGCUAGAGUGCAGGAGAGGAAGGUAGAAUUCCCGGUGUAGCGGUGAAAUGCGUAGAGAUCGGGAGGAAUACCAGUGGCGAAGGCGGCCUUCUGGACUGACACUGACGCUGAGGUGCGAAAGCGUGGGUAGCAAACAGGAUUAGAUAACCCGGUAGUC
Molecule: ribosomal RNA, 465 nt
Filed under: Vreelandella stevensii
Lineage: Bacteria; Pseudomonadati; Pseudomonadota; Gammaproteobacteria; Oceanospirillales; Halomonadaceae
Description: partial 16S ribosomal RNA
Rfam family: Bacterial small subunit ribosomal RNA
Source: RNAcentral